GAGGGUAUAACUCAGUGGUAGAGUGUGUGCCUAAGCAUGCACGAGGUCCUGGGUUCAAUCCCCAGUAACUCCA
Molecule: transfer RNA, 73 nt
Filed under: Camelus bactrianus (Bactrian camel)
Lineage: Eukaryota; Metazoa; Chordata; Mammalia; Artiodactyla; Camelidae
Also listed under: 3 other names
Rfam family: tRNA
About the family: Transfer RNA (tRNA) molecules are approximately 80 nucleotides in length. Their secondary structure includes four short double-helical elements and three loops (D, anti-codon, and T loops).
Source: Rfam by way of RNAcentral